RNAcentral lists this ribosomal RNA (497 nucleotides) under uncultured bacterium. RNAcentral's name for it is "bacterial SSU rRNA". It matches the Rfam family "Bacterial small subunit ribosomal RNA", at positions 899 to 1397 of the family's 1533-position model. The record is from RNAcentral.
ACUCAAAUGAAUUGACGGGGGCCCGCACAAGCGGAGGAACAUGUGGUUUAAUUCGAUGAUACGCGAGGAACCUUACCCGGGCUCGAACGGUAGCGGAAUAUUUCAGAGAUGGGAUAGCCUUUUAGGCUGCUAUCGAGGUGCUGCAUGGUUGUCGUCAGCUCGUGCCGUGAGGUGUCGGCUUAAGUGCCAUAACGAGCGCAACCCUUGUUGUCAGUUGCCAUCAGGUAAAGCUGGGGACUCUGGCAAGACUGCCACCGUAAGGUGUGAGGAAGGGGGGGAUGACGUCAAAUCAGCACGGCCCUUACGUCCGGGGCGACACACGUGUUACAAUGGGUGGUACAGAGGGUAGCUACCCCGUGAGGGGAUGCCAAUCUCCAAAACCAUUCUCAGUUCGGAUUGGAGUCUGCAACUCGACUCCAUGAAGUUGGAUUCGCUAGUAAUCGCGCAUCAGCCAUGGCGCGGUGAAUACGUUCCCGGGCCUUGUACACACCGCCCGU